AAGGAGCGGAAGUCGGCCGCCGGCGCGGUGGAGCGGGGUGUGAGGAGAAAGAAGGGGUGUUUGCAGCGUCGGCGCCUGUCAACAGAGAGGGUGAAAGAGAGUAAGGAAGUAGUGGAUGUGAAAGAUACAUCGACUGGUUGCUUCCCACAGGCAUGGCGACUGGAACCAGGGAUCGAACCUGCAACCCAGAUCCUUCUUCACCCCUGGCUAAAUCCUCCCAGACGCUGAGCCCAUGCUCCCCUCGCAGCAGACACAAGUCCCUACAGAAGGCAGGCUACCUGGGCCUCCUCCCUGA
This is a long non-coding RNA of Myotis brandtii (Brandt's bat), 295 nucleotides long. RefSeq lists it as uncharacterized. The record is from RefSeq and is a predicted model, not a curated record. The transcript is spliced from 3 exons. NCBI's taxonomy places the organism in Eukaryota, Metazoa, Chordata, Mammalia, Chiroptera, Vespertilionidae.